AACGAACGCUGGCGGCGUGCUUAACACAUGCAAGUCGAACGCGAAAGGGAGCAAUCCCGAGUAGAGUGGCGCACGGGUGAGUAACACGUGGGUAAUCUGCCCUCGAGUGGGGGACAACGUCCCGAAAGGGCGCUAAUACCGCAUAACCCGACGGGGACCCUGGUCCCUGCCGGCAAAGAUGGCCUCUGCUUGCAAGCUAUCGCUUGAGGAGGAGCCCGCGCCCCAUUAGGUAGUUGGUGAGGUAAUGGCUCACCAAGCCUGCGAUGGGUAGCCGGCCUGAGAGGGUGGCCGGCCACACUGGCACUGAGAUACGGGCCAGACUCCUACGGGUGGCUG
RNAcentral lists this ribosomal RNA (336 nucleotides) under uncultured Acidobacteriota bacterium. RNAcentral's name for it is "bacterial SSU rRNA". It matches the Rfam family "Bacterial small subunit ribosomal RNA", at positions 28 to 351 of the family's 1533-position model. The record is from RNAcentral. Lineage: Bacteria; Pseudomonadati; Acidobacteriota.